UUGAGUUAUCGAAAAGUUCUAUUAUAAUUGUUAUUGUGAUUUAUAGUUAUAAUAAAGUUAUAUUAUUUAAAGUUAAAUAAGUUGUAUUAAAGUAAAGAAUAAGAAACGAAUAACUUUGACAUUUCGAAAAGGAGGUAUGAUAUUUUUAUGUUGGGACCUAUAAUCAGAUUGCUAAUUUGUUUUGUAAUUAUAAAAGAAGAAAUGUGCAAAAAUAAACGAAAAAAUAAGGAAUACGGAACAAAGAAAGUUAGAAUGCGGAAGAAAAAAUGAAAGAAUGAAAAGAAAGAUAGAAAAAGAAACCAUUUGCAUGACAAUAUGUAACGAAUAAGAUUAUCCAAUUAUAUAUAUAUUAUUUCGAAGCAAUUUCUCUAAAUGUAUAAUUUAUAUUAUCAAAAGAAAUAUUUUAGGGAGUUAAAAAAAUACUGGAGUCGAAGUCAAAAAAUAUUAACUGAUGGAAAAAAAUAAAAUUCACAGAUUAGCUUCGAUGAUUGUAUCAUAAAUGUUGAAAACCUGACAUUGCAGCAGUACAUCUUCGAAGAAGUGGAAAAUUAUAUUGAAAGAUAUCCAGAGAAUUUAGACUAUUGGUCAUGGCAUGUUAUUAAGCUAUAAAAUAUAUUGGACAUCACAGAACUUCAAAUAAUUUGCCUUCUAAAGCGGGAUCUCUAAAAACUGAUGUAAGAACAGAUAAAAAAGUUCAUCGAUUAUUUAAAGCUGACAGAUUCAAGACUGCUAUCGAUAUUUACAGGGAAAUAUCCACGAACUUGGAUACACAAAUAAAUGUACAAAUUGUUUGACGAAGACUAGAGGUUUCAAUUAAAUGUUUUGCCAGUAAAAAAUCAUUUAUAUUAGAAAAAAUCUAUGAGCUAGAAUUGCUUUCACAAAAGAAUAUUUUAACUGACAGUGACCAACAGUUAUCAAACGUUGUAUUUAUAGACGAAUUUAAAUUCAAUAGAUUUGGAUUUGAUGAGAAAAUGUAUAUUAGACAUCAUAUAGACAAAGAAUACCAUAAUAGUUGUUUAAAAGAAACUAUAAGAUGUAGUGGAUCGGUCCUGGUAUAAACGGCACAGACCUUCAUCAAAGGAAUAAUGGACAAAUUUAUAUACUUAGAUGUUGUAAAAUAUCAAUUAAUUCCAUUUACUGAAGAGUACAUGAUGAAAGAUUGAAUUUAUCAAACGGAUAAUGAUUUUAAAUACACCACACAUAUAAUAAAGACAUUUUUUAAUGAACAAAAUAUUAAUGUGAUGAAGUGGCCAGCACAAUCUCCAGACUUAAAUCCCAUAGAGAUGUUAUGGAUUGACGUGAAUAAACAUGUGAAGAAGCAGGAACUAAAAAAUAUUAACGAAUUGUAUGUCAGAAUAGAAGAAGCUUGGUGUUUCAUACCGAUUACAGAUGGGGUCGAUGCAUUCGAUUUAUCGAAUCUAUGCCAUGCAGAGUAUGCUAGAAACUUGCAGAAAACGAAAUUAUUUUGUGUUAUUAAAUGUGCAAAUACACAAGAAAACAAAUUUUUGUUAACUGUAAUACGUAAAUGCUGCAUCGUAUCUAGCAUGGAUCACUACAAGAUAGUUGACACCAAAAUAUGAGAAACAAAAGUUUGAGUUUAUAGCCUACUUGUUCACAUGACAUCGAUAUUGUUUUAUAUAUACGCCUGAUAUUGCCGGUAACUGUAUAAGGUAAAAUCACAGAUUUUUCAAGAUUGGGCAAUUUUUGAUAGUAGGUUUUGCCAGUAAAAUCAGCACACGGUUAUUCGAUAAAAAUAAAUACAUAUAGAACGCACAUAUAGAACGGAACAGAAAAGACAAGUCUCUCAUGUAUCGAUAUCUUAGGAUAUGCUAAGAUUUGUGGUCCACUUAUAUAUAUAUAAUAGUUAUAUAUACAUAACUAUUAUAUACAGGGUAUUUCCGAAAAUGUGGACAUAACUUCAGGGAUAGAUACAGUAUGCUAAAAUAAAAAAAAAGUUCAUAUAAACAUAUGGUUAAUAUGACCUUUGCGAUGUAUUAUACAACAACCAUUCUUUUACAAUUAUAGCCGUAUGCUUGGGAUUAUAAUCUUGCUGGAAAUAAAAAACCCUAAUUUCGUAAAAAACCUUAACUUUCUUUUAAGUUAUUUUUUAGAAUAUUUAAAUAUUUAUAUUUAUCUAAAAUACCAUCUGUAAAAACAAUAUUUCUAAUACCGUUUGUAACCAUACAUCCUCACAACAUCACGGAACUACCACCGUGUUUUACAGUCAGACGUAAAUUUUUCACAUUCAUUUUUGAAUUGGGUUGUCUCCAAACAAAACGAGGUUCGUUCGAUCCGAAUAUAUUAUAUUUGCUUUCAUCAAGAAAAAUAACUUUAUCCCAAAAAACAUCAUCUUCAAUUAUGUAUUCUUUUACAAAUUUCAAACACUUGGCUCGAUUUGUCUUAUUAAUAAAUGAUUUCUUUUUCGUAAUUCUACCAUGAAAAUCAUUGUCGCGUAAAGUCUUGCGACAUAAUUCAAAAUGAACAUUUAAGUUUUGACGCAACCAUUUGAGCAAGAUUCGUAGCCGAAGUAUUCGGAUCUUUUUUUAUUUCGCGUAUUAUAAUUUUUUCUUCUCUACGAGUUAGUUUCUUUGGACGACCUAUACGAUGGUUGUUCUUAAUUGUUUUUUCGAUUUUUGAUUUUUUAAUAAUAUAAUGUAUGUUACAUAUACCCUUACAAAGUUCGGAUAUUAACUCCAUCGAAAAUUUGUGGGCAGAAAUCGGCAAGAAAUAAAAAAAUGAUAAAAUAACUUCGAAAAAUGUAUUAAAACAGAAGAUUGUAGAAGUAUGUAAUUCUAUAGAAUCUACAACUGAAAAGCUAGUGUGCAGCAUGUAACAUCGUCCCAAAGCCAUAAUAAAUUAAUAGUGUUCGAAUACUUUUAUGAACCUGUUUCAAUACAUUUUUGUAAUAAAUGUUUCAUAACUUCUAUAAAUGUUAUUCGAUUCGCUUCAAAUUUUGUAUGCGUAAUCUCGAUAGUUGUGUCUUAUAAUAGUUGUAACAUCACUUUCAGAAUUUAAGUCUAACAUGCAUAUUUUUAUUAUUUAAAGUUUUAAUAGCGAGCAUUUCAAUACUUUCGUAAGACAUUGUAUAUAUAUAAUAGCCUUAAGUCGUUUCGUGCUGUCAUGAUAAACGUUCUCUGUAUCAACGUUCUCCCUUUUUCUCUUUCUUUUUCUUUUUAAUAACAACGUAUACAUGCAUAUGCAGUAUGCAUUAUUGAAUAUAGACAUGUAAAUUUGAUAUAUCCAGUCAGAUACUUUCCAACAAAAUUUUACGUCCUUUAAAUUUUCGUGACAAAAAUUCAUCUUAAAUAUAACGCAAACAUUCGUAAAAUAUUUUUUUAUUUAUUUUUUAAGUAAGAUACAUUUUGUCGAGAUAAAAUAUUUAUUUGGGAAUAUGAGGAGGUAGAUUUUAUUAAUAUCAAAACAAAUAUUGCACUGGAGAUAUGAAGUAACUAAUGUAUUGUAGGCGGAAGGCUUCGAAGAGUUGCGGUAAGAGAAAAAUAUGCGACGUAAACAGUUUUGACAUUUUUGACCGACUGUUUGAAAAAACUAAAAGUAAAUAAAACCGAUCAUAAAAAUUCUGUAGUAUCUAAGUAGCGUGUAUGUACUAUAUGCCUGUAAUACGUGAUUAAAAAAAGUAAACGAACUGACAAUAAGACGAGCCAACUGGAGUUAUUUUAGUUAGGUAUCGACAGUUAGUGUCGGAUACGAGUUACGAGCUAAAUGUGUAUAUCAAAGAAUGCUGCAUAAAUAUCUAUUAUUAAAGUGUAUACAUUGAUAUUGGCAAUAAAAAUACUAUAGGAUAUUACAGCUUCCAUUGGAGUUAUAAUAAUAGAUAAUGCCAGAUGUCGCGUACCCUUACACGACGUGUAAGGCACUAGGUAUAUCGGAUAUGCCCAUAUAUAAACCGCUUAAGAAAAUAAAACUUUAGAAAUUGUCGUCUCAAUAAGAUCGUGUAAAAGCGUAAAAAUAAUAUCACACGCUCUUACGAAAUUGUAUGGAGAUAUUUUCGAGGUAGUAGAACACAGACCGGAUCUGCUACGACUGACUUAUCUUCUCUCCGGAAGAAGUUCUGUUUAUGCAUAAAUCGUAGGUGUAUAUGUGUAAGAACUUAUCUUCGCAAAAUUUUCUCGUUACUUUAUACGCUUUAAAGAAGCACAUUAAAUAAUAUACAUAAUAUAUUUAAUGUAAUAUAAUAUUUUAUAAUAGAAUAAAAAGUUGAAAAGAUGAA
Vespula pensylvanica (western yellowjacket) is the source of this 4228-nucleotide long non-coding RNA. RefSeq lists it as uncharacterized. The record is from RefSeq and is a predicted model, not a curated record. The transcript is spliced from 4 exons. Lineage: Eukaryota; Metazoa; Arthropoda; Insecta; Hymenoptera; Vespidae.